CCUACGGGAGGCAGCAGUGGGGAAUUUUGGACAAUGGGCGCAAGCCUGAUCCAGCAAUGCCGCGUGCAGGAUGAAGGCCUUCGGGUUGUAAACUGCUUUUGUACGGAACGAAACGGUGAGCUCUAAUACAGUUUGCUAAUGACGGUACCGUAAGAAUAAGCACCGGCUAACUACGUGCCAGCAGCCGCGGUAAUACGUAGGGUGCGAGCGUUAAUCGGAAUUACUGGGCGUAAAGCGUGCGCAGGCGGUGAUGUAAGACAGAUGUGAAAUGCCCGGGCUCAACCUGGGACCUGCAUUUGUGACUGCAUCGCUAGAGUACGGUAGAGGGGGGAUGGAAUUCCGCGUGUAGCAGUGAAAUGCGUAGAUAUGCGGAGGAACACCGAUGGCGAAGGCAAUCCCCUGGACCUGUACUGACGCUCAUGCACGAAAGCGUGGGGAGGCAAACAGGAUUAGAUACCCUGGUAGUCCACGCCCUAAACCGAUGUCAACUGGUUGUUGGGUCUUCACUGACUCAGUACGAAGCUAACGCGUGAAGUUGACGCCUUGGGGAGGUACGGCCGCGAGGUUGACGACGAAGAGUUAGAGGCGNGAGAGNGCGACGGACGACGACGAGGGAGGAGG
Molecule: ribosomal RNA, 621 nt
Filed under: uncultured bacterium
Lineage: Bacteria
Description: bacterial SSU rRNA
Rfam family: Bacterial small subunit ribosomal RNA (bases 1-543)
Source: RNAcentral